Molecule: unclassified non-coding RNA, 294 nt
Filed under: uncultured Sebacina
Lineage: Eukaryota; Fungi; Basidiomycota; Agaricomycetes; Sebacinales; Sebacinaceae
Description: sequence contains 5.8S rRNA gene
Source: RNAcentral
GAACGCACCUUGCACCCUUUGGCAUUCCGAAGGGUAUGCUCGUUUGAGUGUCAUUGUACUCUCACACUCCCAAUACUUUUGGAUUGGGAGCGGUGGACUUGGGUGUUGCUGCUUUACUGUGGCUCACCUCAAAUGGAGUAGUGCAACUCUCGGUUGGACAUAGUACGGCGUGAUAAGUGUCUUCGCCGGCGCCUCAUUAGAGGGUGGCCGAUCGGGAGCUCUGUGCUUCAAACCGUCUUCGGACAACAUCUGACAACUUGACCUCAAAUCGAGUAGGACUACCCGCUGAACUUA